UGAGUAACGCGUAUCCAACUCCCUUAGUAGGGCAUAGCCCGGCGAAAGUCGGAUUAAUACCCUAUGUUCUUCGUAGAGGACAUCUGAAAUGAAGCAAAGAUUUAUCGCUAAGGGAUGGGGAUGCGUCUGAUUAGGUAGUCGGCGGGGUAACGGCCCACCGAGCCUGCGAUCAGUAGGGGUUCUGAGAGGAAGGUCCCCCACAUUGGAACUGAGACACGGUCCAAACUCCUACGGGAGGCAGCAGUGAGGAAUAUUGGUCAAUGGGGCGCGGGCCUGAACCAGCCAAGUAGCGUGACCAGGAUGACGGCCCUAUGGGUUGUAAACUGCUUUUAUGCGGGGAUAAAGUGCACCACGUGUGGUGUUUUGUAGGUACCGCAUGAAUAAGGACCGGCUAAUUCCGUGCCAGCCGCCGC
This 413-nucleotide ribosomal RNA is filed under the name uncultured bacterium. RNAcentral's name for it is "bacterial SSU rRNA". It matches the Rfam family "Bacterial small subunit ribosomal RNA", at positions 107 to 518 of the family's 1533-position model. The record is from RNAcentral.